UACGUAGGGGGCUAGCGUUGUCCGGAUUUAUUGGGCGUAAAGAGCGUGUGGGCGGCCAGGUAGGUCUGCUGUGAAAACUCGAGGCUCAACCUCGAGACGUCGGCGGAAACCAUCUGGCUAGAGUCCGGAAGAGGAGAGUGGAAUUCCUGGUGUAGCGGUGAAAUGCGCAGAUAUCAGGAAGAACACCCGUGGCGAAGGCGGCUCUCUUGGACGGUACUGACGCUGAGACGCGAAAGCGUGGGGAGCGAACAGG
RNAcentral lists this ribosomal RNA (253 nucleotides) under uncultured bacterium. Its description in RNAcentral is "partial 16S ribosomal RNA". It matches the Rfam family "Bacterial small subunit ribosomal RNA", at positions 524 to 776 of the family's 1533-position model. The record is from RNAcentral.